GACGAACGCUGGCGGCGUGCUUAACACAUGCAAGUCGAACGGAAAGGCCCUUCGUGGUACUCGUGUUGCGAACGCGAGCGUGACACUUGGGCGUUCUUCCCCUCACCUUGGGAUUAGCCUGGGUUACUGGGACUAAUACUGAUUCCGACUACGCGCUCCAUGUGCAUUGUUGGAAAGCUUCGGCGGUGGGGGAUGGGCCCGCGGCUUAUCAGCUUGUUGGUGGGGUAGUGGCCUACCAAGGCCAUGACGGGUAGCCGGCCUGAGAGGGUGACCGGCCACACUGGGACUGAGAUACGGCCCAGACUCCUACGGGAGGCAGCAGUGGGGAAUAUUGCACAAUGGGCGCAAGCCUGAUGCAGCAACGCCGCGUGCGGGAUGACGGCCUUCGGGUUGUAAACCGCUUUCGAUAGGGACGAAGCGUGAGUGACGGUAACGAGAAAAGAAGCACCGGCUAACUACGUG
Molecule: ribosomal RNA, 462 nt
Filed under: uncultured bacterium
Lineage: Bacteria
Description: partial 16S ribosomal RNA
Rfam family: Bacterial small subunit ribosomal RNA
Source: RNAcentral